AGGGCACCACCAGGAGUGGAGCCUGCGGCUUAAUUUGACUCAACACGGGAAAACUUACCCGGCCCGGACACUGGAAGGAUUGACAGAUUGAGAGCUCUUUCUUGAUUCAGUGGGUGGUGGUGCAUGGCCGUUCUUAGUUGGUGGAGCGAUUUGUCUGGUUAAUUCCGAUAACGAACGAGACUCUAGCCUACUAAAUAGACUACCGUUCCUUUGUGACGGUAGGACUUCUUAGAGGGACAGGCGGCGACUCAGCCGCACGAAACAGAGCAAUAACAGGUCUGUGAUGCCCUUAGAUGUCCGGGGCCGCACGCGCGCUACACUGAAGUGAUCAGCGUGCAUUAAUAACCCUCUCUGUCAAGAGUGGGUAACCCAUUGAACCUUCUUCGUGAUUGGGAUAGGGUAUUGUAAUUCUUACCCUUGAACGAGGAAUUCCCAGUAAGCGCGAGUCAUAAGCUUGCGUUGAUUACGUCCCUGCCCUUUGUACACACCGCCCGUCGCUACUACCGAUUGAAUGAUUUA
This 519-nucleotide ribosomal RNA is filed under the name uncultured eukaryote. RNAcentral's name for it is "SSU rRNA". It matches the Rfam family "Eukaryotic small subunit ribosomal RNA", at positions 1161 to 1700 of the family's 1831-position model. The record is from RNAcentral.